Molecule: unclassified non-coding RNA, 322 nt
Filed under: soil metagenome
Description: partial contains 5.8S ribosomal RNA, internal transcribed spacer 2, and large subunit ribosomal RNA
Rfam family: 5.8S ribosomal RNA (bases 1-120)
Source: RNAcentral
GAUGAAGAACGUAGUGAAAUGCGAUAAGUAAUGCGAAUUGCAGAAUUCAGUGAGUCAUCGAAUCUUUGAACGCACAUUGCGCCCUGUGGUAUUCCGCAGGGCAUGCCUGUUCGAGCGUCAUUUCAACCCUCAAGCUCUGCUUGGUGUUGGGCCCUGCCCGCUGCGGCCGGCCCUAAAGACAGUGGCGGUGCCGCCUGGCCCUGAGCGUAGUACAUCUCUCGCUCCAGUGCCCGGUGGUAGCCUGCCAGAACCCCAACUCUCGUGGUUGACCUCGGAUCAGGUAGGGAUACCCGCUGAACUUAAGCAUAUCAAUAAGGGAGGA